This 301-nucleotide ribosomal RNA is filed under the name uncultured bacterium. RNAcentral describes it as "partial 16S ribosomal RNA". It matches the Rfam family "Bacterial small subunit ribosomal RNA", at positions 509 to 807 of the family's 1533-position model. The record is from RNAcentral.
CAGUCGCCGCGGGAAUACGAAGGGGGCUAGCGUUGCUCGGAAUGACUGGGCGUAAAGGGCGCGUAGGCGGCGGCCAAAGUCAGGCGUGAAAUUCCUGGGCUCAACCUGGGGGCUGCGCUUGAUACUUGGUUGCUUGAGUGGGGAAGAGGGUCGUGGAAUUCCCAGUGUAGAGGUGAAAUUCGUAGAUAUUGGGAAGAACACCGGUGGCGAAGGCGGCGACCUGGUCCUUGACUGACGCUGAGGCGCGAAAGCGUGGGGAGCAAACAGGAUUAGAUACCCGGGUAGUCCCUGUCUCUUAUAC